RNAcentral lists this ribosomal RNA (236 nucleotides) under uncultured bacterium. Its description in RNAcentral is "partial 16S ribosomal RNA". It matches the Rfam family "Bacterial small subunit ribosomal RNA", at positions 120 to 353 of the family's 1533-position model. The record is from RNAcentral.
AGGAACCUGCCUUGGAGUGGGGAAUAACAGUUGGAAACGACUGCUAAUACCGCAUGAUGCGAUUGUCUCGCAUGGGACUGAUCGCCAAAGAUUUAUCGCUCUGAGAUGGCCUCGCGUCUGAUUAGCUAGUUGGUGGGGUAACGGCUCACCAAGGCGACGAUCAGUAGCCGGACUGAGAGGUUGGCCGGCCACAUUGGGACUGAGACACGGCCCAGACUCCUACGGGAGGCAGCAUG